GGGAGCCUGAUGUGGGGCUCAAUCCCAGUGGGAUCACAACCUGAGCCGAAGGCAGACACUUAACCGACUGAGCCACCCAGAGAGAGAGAGAGAAGGUAAGGAGGGGCCGCAGGACAGGGAGAGAGAGUCUCAAGCGGACUCCACGUCCAGAAAGGAGCCUGACACGGGGCUCGAUCUCACCACCCUGAGGAUCAUGACCUGAGCUGAAAUCAAGAGUCAGACGCUGAACCCACUGACCCACCCAAGCAUUCCUCAAGCUAUCUCUCUUUAUAUCUGACGAAUUGGUUCUCAACCUUGUGGAGGCUGGCAAGUCCAAGAUUUACUAAGUGGCUGAGUGGGCCGGCAGGCUAGACACCCAGGGAAGAGCCAAUGUGGCAGUUCAAGUUUGAAGACCAUCAAGCAAGACUAUCAAGCAAGCCAUUAAGCAAUGCCAUCCUUCUCGCCUGGGAAAGCAAGCUGUCACUGCCUGAGGGAAGCACACCCGUGUGUGGUGCCACACGCAGCCGAUGACCUUUGCAUUCACCGCAACAACUGAAGCUCUAGAAACGGUCCACCAGUAUAAGGUGAACUAAAGAUUGUGAUGGUGGUUUGUCUUGUUCCUGAUUUGAAUGGGACUACUUCUAAAAUUUUACCAAGAGAGAGAGCGCACAAGUAGGCAGAGUGGCAGGCAGAUGGAGAGGGAGAAGCAGGCUCUCCGCUGAGCAGGGAGCUGGAUGUGGGGCUCGAUCCCAAGACCCCAGGAUCAUGACCUGAGACGAAGGCAGCUGCUUAACGGACUGAGCCACCCAGGCGCCCCUACAUAGUUUUUUUUUAAUCAAGUUAAGCUGGCUACUUUCUGAUCCUAGGUAAGUACUUCCUGUUGUUAUAUAAAAAAAUCAUGAGCAGAUUGUUAUAUUUUAACAGAUACAUUUUCAUACCCCUAUUAAAAAUAUUUCUCACUAACGGGGC
Molecule: long non-coding RNA, 948 nt
Organism: Mirounga angustirostris (Northern elephant seal)
Lineage: Eukaryota; Metazoa; Chordata; Mammalia; Carnivora; Phocidae
Exons: 6
Source: RefSeq, a predicted model, not a curated record